AAGAAUUUAGUUAAAUUAUAACAUUAGUUUGUCAUUCUAAAAUUACUAAAAAUUAUAGUAUUUCUUA
RNAcentral lists this transfer RNA (67 nucleotides) under Staphylinoidea sp. 1 KM-2017. RNAcentral's name for it is "tRNA-Asp". Lineage: Eukaryota; Metazoa; Arthropoda; Insecta; Coleoptera. The record is from RNAcentral.